CAGAGUUGCAAAACUCCACAAACCCUUGUGAACGUACAUGAAGUAGUUGCUUCGGCGGAGCUCGCCGCAGGGAGCGGACCGCCGUAUCCAGACUCUUGCAGUUUAUUCGGCAUCUCUGAGUAUGCUUAUAAAUAAGUUA
RNAcentral lists this unclassified non-coding RNA (139 nucleotides) under soil metagenome. RNAcentral describes it as "partial internal transcribed spacer 1". The record is from RNAcentral.